AUGCCAAUAUUGUGUUUAAAAUUACCAUUAACAAGGUCUAAAGGUAAAGGAGGUAUGGGAUUCCGGAAUCUCGGAUUAUUUAACCAAGCCCUCUUAUCCAAACAAGCGUGGAGGUUAUUGGUUCAUCCGGAUUCGUUGUGUGCUAAGCUGAUGAAGGCAAAGUAUUACCCUCAUGGACAUAUUCUUGAUACAGUGUUUCCUCUGUCUGCAUCAGUGACUUGGUAAGGUAUUAUGCAUGGUCUGGAAUUGCUUAAGAAUGGUGUCAUUUGGCGGGUGGGUAAUUGAUCUAGCAUUAAUAUUUGGAGGGAUAAUUGGUUAUUCAUGAGCACUGGACUUAAAUUUUUAGCUAAAAGUCAUAAUACUAGAUUGAAGUGGGUCUCUGAUUUGUUCUUGAGUGGGAGAAAGGCAUGGGAUGAAAAUUUGAUUAGGUAUCUUUUCUAUCCCCAUGAUGUAGAGGAGAUUCUUAAGAUUCGUAUUCAUACUUAUGGGGAUGGGGAUUUUAUUGCGUGGCACUAUGAGAAGAACGGUAUAUUUUCCGUUAAAAGUGCGUACAAUUCAGCACUUAAGUUGAAGGAUAGUUAA
This 582-nucleotide ribosomal RNA is filed under the name Triticum aestivum (bread wheat). RNAcentral's name for it is "partial small subunit ribosomal RNA". Lineage: Eukaryota; Viridiplantae; Streptophyta; Magnoliopsida; Poales; Poaceae. The record is from RNAcentral.